Molecule: long non-coding RNA, 426 nt
Organism: Pseudomyrmex gracilis
Lineage: Eukaryota; Metazoa; Arthropoda; Insecta; Hymenoptera; Formicidae
Exons: 3
Source: RefSeq, a predicted model, not a curated record
GCGAGCUGUGAACUGAUGUUGGGAGUCAAAUGUACACGCGUAUACGUCGAGGAGAGAGAGAGAGCCCAGACACCAUCACUUUCACCGAGAUAAACGGAAAAACUCGAACUAUAUAUUGAGAAAAGCUUUAAAAGCUCGAGGGCUCGAACUAUUGAGAAAAGCUUUUAAAGCUCGAGAAACUUUUGUGAGGGAAAGCUCUAAAGUUACGGAGAACUUUCGAUUCAAACCUGACAAGCGUCGCGACCACCUUCCUGGACGCCUGCGCAUAAUUGUUUUUCUCUGUGCACAUUUGGCAUAGGACAGUCUUCGGGACGAACCAAUGGAAUCCGAACGUGACGCAACACACGCACCUGACCAUGCAAUGGGCGGCCGACAGGACAAACCUAGGCGCAACAUAAGUGCCUCCGCACGAGUGGCUAGAGUAUC